AUUCUGUAAAGCCUGCUGGAUUUCGGCAUAACGGGAGCAGGCGCAAAAACAAGCCUCACCGCGCUGCUGAAGCUGGUGUAGACUGCAAGUGAGUAAGGUUGACAUCUGGUUUUUAAGGCCGAAGAAUUGCUGGAAACUUGUUAUCACAAGACACAGUCCAUUGGCUGUGUAAGACUUGUUGUGGUUGCUUAUUGUCAUUCUUUUUUUUUUUUUUUUUUUU
This 220-nucleotide long non-coding RNA is filed under the name Arachis ipaensis. Its description in RNAcentral is "long non-coding RNA (AIPA_LNC002227)". The record is from RNAcentral. Lineage: Eukaryota; Viridiplantae; Streptophyta; Magnoliopsida; Fabales; Fabaceae.